This 1000-nucleotide ribosomal RNA is filed under the name uncultured organism. RNAcentral describes it as "bacterial SSU rRNA". It matches the Rfam family "Bacterial small subunit ribosomal RNA", at positions 356 to 1376 of the family's 1533-position model. The record is from RNAcentral.
GGGGGAUAUUGCGCAAUGGGGGCAACCCUGACGCAGCAACGCCGCGUGAAGGAUGAAGGUUUUCGGAUUGUAAACUUCUUUUAUUAAGGACGAAACUUGACGGUACUUAAUGAAUAAGCUCCGGCUAACUACGUGCCAGCAGCCGCGGUAAUACGUAGGGAGCAAGCGUUGUCCGGAUUUACUGGGUGUAAAGGGUGCGUAGGCGGCUUUGCAAGUCAGAUGUGAAAUCUAUGGGCUCAACCCAUAAACUGCAUUUGAAACUGUAGAGCUUGAGUGAAGUAGAGGCAGGCGGAAUUCCCCGUGUAGCGGUGAAAUGCGUAGAGAUGGGGAGGAACACCAGUGGCGAAGGCGGCCUGCUGGGCUUUAACUGACGCUGAGGCACGAAAGCGUGGGUAGCAAACAGGAUUAGAUACCCUGGUAGUCCACGCUGUAAACGAUGAUUACUAGGUGUGGGGGGUCUGACCCCUUCCGUGCCGGAGUUAACACAAUAGGUAAUCCACCUGGGGAGUACGGCCGCAAGGUUGAAACUCAAAGGAAUUGACGGGGGCCCGCACAAGCAGUGGAGUAUGUGGUUUAAUUCGAAGCAACGCGAAGAACCUUACCAGGUCUUGACAUCCAACUAACGAAGUAGAGAUACAUUAGGUGCCCUUCGGGGAAAGUUGAGACAGGUGGUGCAUGGUUGUCGUCAGCUCGUGUCGUGAGAUGUUGGGUUAAGUCCCGCAACGAGCGCAACCCUUGCUAUUAGUUGCUACGCAAGAGCACUCUAAUAGGACUGCCGUUGACAAAACGGAGGAAGGUGGGGACGACGUCAAAUCAUCAUGCCCCUUAUGACCUGGGCUACACACGUACUACAAUGGAUGUUAACAGAGGGAAGCAAGACAGCGAUGUGGAGCAAACCCCUAAAAACAUUCUCAGUUCAGAUUGCAGGCUGCAACCCGCCUGCAUGAAGAUGGAAUUGCUAGUAAUCGCGGAUCAGCAUGCCGCGGUGAAUACGUUCCCG